AACUUUCGGCAACGGUUCACUUGGUUCUGGCAUCGAUGAAGAACGCAGCGAAAUGCGAUAAGUAAUGUGAAUUGCAGAAUUCAGUGAAUCAUCGAAUCUUUGAACGCACAUUGCGCCCCUUGGUAUUCCGAGGGGCAUGCCUGUUCGAGCGUCAUUAUAACCACUCAAGCCUCGGCUUGGUCUUGGGGUUCGCGGUCUCGCGGCUCUUAAAAUCAGUGGCAGUGCCGUCUGGCUCUAAGCGUAGUAAUUCUCUCGCUAUAGAGUUCCGGUGGUUACUUGCCAAAACCCCUAAUUUUUUAACGGUUGACCUCGGAUCAGGUAGGGAUACCCGCUGAACUUAAGCAUAUCAAUAAGCGGAGGAU
Molecule: unclassified non-coding RNA, 362 nt
Filed under: uncultured Meliniomyces
Lineage: Eukaryota; Fungi; Ascomycota; Leotiomycetes; Helotiales; Helotiaceae
Description: sequence contains ITS2
Rfam family: 5.8S ribosomal RNA (bases 1-154)
Source: RNAcentral